AACGAACGCUGGCGGCAUGCCUAACACAUGCAAGUCGAACGAGACCUUCGGGUCUAGUGGCGCACGGGUGCGUAACGCGUGGGAACCUGCCUUUAGGUUCGGAAUAACUCAGAGAAAUUUGAGCUAAUACCGGAUAAUGUCUUCGGACCAAAGAUUUAUCGCCUUUAGAUGGGCCCGCGUUGGAUUAGCUAGUUGGUGGGGUAAAGGCCUACCAAGGCGACGAUCCAUAGCUGGUCUGAGAGGAUGAUCAGCCACACUGGGACUGAGACACGGCCCAGACUCCUACGGGAGGCAGCAGUGGGGAAUAUUGGACAAUGGGCGAAAGCCUGAUCCAGCAAUGCCGCGUGAGUGAUGAAGGCCUUAGGGUUGUAAAGCACUUUC
RNAcentral lists this ribosomal RNA (381 nucleotides) under uncultured bacterium. RNAcentral describes it as "bacterial SSU rRNA". It matches the Rfam family "Bacterial small subunit ribosomal RNA", at positions 29 to 437 of the family's 1533-position model. The record is from RNAcentral.